This 441-nucleotide ribosomal RNA is filed under the name uncultured Enterobacteriaceae bacterium. RNAcentral's name for it is "bacterial SSU rRNA". It matches the Rfam family "Bacterial small subunit ribosomal RNA", at positions 941 to 1382 of the family's 1533-position model. The record is from RNAcentral. Lineage: Bacteria; Pseudomonadati; Pseudomonadota; Gammaproteobacteria; Enterobacterales; Enterobacteriaceae.
GUGGUUUAAUUCGAUGCAACGCGAAGAACCUUACCUGGUCUUGACAUCCACGGAAGUUUUCAGAGAUGAGAAUGUGCCUUCGGGAACCGUGAGACAGGUGCUGCAUGGCUGUCGUCAGCUCGUGUUGUGAAAUGUUGGGUUAAGUCCCGCAACGAGCGCAACCCUUAUCCUUUGUUGCCAGCGGUCCGGCCGGGAACUCAAAGGAGACUGCCAGUGAUAAACCGGAGGAAGGUGGGGAUGACGUCAAGUCCUCAUGGCCUUUAUGCCCAGGGCUACACACGUGCUACAAUGGGUGGUACAAAGAGCAGCCAGCUCGCGAGAGUGAGCAAAUCUCAAAAAGCCAUCCUCAGUUCGGAUUGGAGUCUGCAACUCGACUUCAUGAAGUUGGAAUCGCUAGUAAUCGCGGAUCAGCAUGCCGCGGUGAAUACGUUCCCGGGCCUU